UUCGUAUUCAAAUGGCGCCGCCUCGCGACGACACGUCGGGACGAGCGAGGCCCGCUUUGUCUUAUUCUUCGGAGGCCUGAAUGGCAGAAGCGGCUACUCCACACAGAGGCCGCCCUGCAAUCAGCAUCCAUCAAUGAAACAUGCCCGUCCGCCGGGAGCGCUGCAGGUGGAAGAGUCGCCGGCGUCGACUUGUACCGCGUCGGGCCCCGUUGAUGAGCUGCUGUGCGAGACGAGCACGCUUCACCGACGCCACGGCGGCUCCACAGUUCUCGUUGUGAUUCCACACGUGAAGGCGCAGCCAAUGGGGACGAGGUGGCGCCACGUCAUGAGUGUCGAAACUGAAUGUAUAAAAAACCUCAGUUUCCUUCCAUUCUGUGAAGAAGGAUGACCAGCAAAGCUGUGUAUGUGGGCCCCUUAUUGGGGGUAGGCCUGGCACUGCACUAUCUUCCGUAUCGGCCCACGCACGCGGAGUGCUUAACGCCUGCUUCACCUCCGCCACGGCUCGCCUCUGAUAUCGCAUUAUCUUCGGGCUAGGCCCACGUACAGGAAGUGCUUAACGCCUUCGUCACCUCCGCCGCAGCUUGCCUCUGGUAUCGCACUAUCUUCGGGAUCGACCCACGUACGGGGAGUGUUUAACGCCUGCGUCACCGCCGCUGCGGGUCGGCCCGGUGUUGCACUGUAUCUUCGGGAUCGGCCCACGUACGUGAAGUUUUGUGUCUGCAGACGGACACGAUCCUGUGUGAACUAGCCUCUAACAGCUUCGCUGUAAUAAAAGGCAUUAAUCUCCAAUUGAACGGCGCUGAGCGGUCUUUCGAGUUAUGAACUGCUCGCGGAUAAGCGAGCGCGUUGAGACGCUCGUGUGUUUUGAUUUGGCCUCACCGAGGCGCAGUUAGAACGCACGCGAGAGCAUGCGCGGACAAGGAACGCGCGGAAAAAAACAUUUCACCGAAAGGACUGCUCCGUUUUCGUAUUCCGACACGUAAGCAAUUUUAAGUGUCUCUGUCUUUCUUCGUUUUUUGAUAACGAACGGUCCCGGUGCAGUCUAUGACUUUGGGAGCCUUGUCUGUAUAUUUAUUCUAUAGAACGAAUUGUAUCAUGAAUGAAUAAUAAACUUUCCAGUGAAACUGAA
Long non-coding RNA from Dermacentor albipictus, 1129 nucleotides. RefSeq lists it as uncharacterized. Lineage: Eukaryota; Metazoa; Arthropoda; Arachnida; Ixodida; Ixodidae. The record is from RefSeq and is a predicted model, not a curated record.